UACUCCCUUCAUCACAAUCGCACGCAAGUGUAGAUAGGGAAACCCCUCGUGCUUACCUAAAAAAAAGGGGGUGUUAUGUGUAAUGAGCAUAUCGAAUAAGGGAUGGGCAAGACUGGGGCCAGCAGCCGCGGUAAUACCAGCGUCACAAGUGGAGAUCACUAUUAUUGGGUCUAAAGAGUUCGUAGCUGGUUUGAUAAGUCUCUUGUGAAAUUUUUUUGGCUUAACCAAAAAAUUGCAAGAGAUACUGUCUGACUAGAGACCGGGAGAGGUAAGAAGUAUUGUUUGGGUAGCGGUAAAAUGUUAUAGUCCUUACAAGACUAACUAAGGCGAAGGCAUCUUACUAGAACGGAUCUGACAGUGAGGAACGAAAGCUAGGGUAGCGAACCGGAUUAGAUACCCGGGUAGUCCUAGCCGUAAACGCUGGGGGUUACCCUUUGCUAAAUCUACGAGAUUUAGCAGGGGGGAAGCGAAGGCGAUAAACCCCCCCCCUGGGAAGUACAGCCCCAAGGCCGAAACUUAAAGGAAUUGGGGGGGGAAAGGGCGAAUUCUUUUAAACCUGCGGGACUAGUCCCUUUAGUGAGGGUUAAUUCUGAGCUUGGCGUAAUCAUGGUCAUAGUUUUUUUCUGAG
RNAcentral lists this ribosomal RNA (628 nucleotides) under uncultured archaeon. Its description in RNAcentral is "partial 16S ribosomal RNA". It matches the Rfam family "Archaeal small subunit ribosomal RNA", at positions 336 to 976 of the family's 1478-position model. The record is from RNAcentral.